CUAAGGAGACUGCCGGUGACAAACCGGAGGAAGGUGGGGAUGACGUCAAAUCAUCAUGCCCCUUAUGAGUUGGGCUACACACGUGCUACAAUGGACGGUACAAAGGGCAGCGAAGCCGCGAGGUGGAGCCAAUCCCAGAAAGCCGUUCUCAGUUCGGAUUGCAGGCUGCAACUCGCCUGCAUGAAGUCGGAAUCGCUAGUAAUCGCAGGUCAGCAUACUGCGGUGAAUACGUUCCCGGGUCUUGUACACACCGCCCGUCACACCACGAGAGUUUGUAACACCCGAAGUCGGUGAGGUAACCUUAGGGAGCCAGCCGCCGAAGGUGGGACAGAUGAUUGGGGUGA
RNAcentral lists this ribosomal RNA (344 nucleotides) under Exiguobacterium sp. Hajipour1. Its description in RNAcentral is "bacterial SSU rRNA". It matches the Rfam family "Bacterial small subunit ribosomal RNA", at positions 1140 to 1483 of the family's 1533-position model. The record is from RNAcentral. Lineage: Bacteria; Bacillati; Bacillota; Bacilli; Caryophanales.